RNAcentral lists this unclassified non-coding RNA (349 nucleotides) under soil metagenome. RNAcentral describes it as "partial contains 5.8S ribosomal RNA, internal transcribed spacer 2, and large subunit ribosomal RNA". The stretch from base 1 to 120 matches the Rfam family "5.8S ribosomal RNA", at positions 35 to 154 of the family's 154-position model. The record is from RNAcentral.
GAUGAAGAACGUAGCAAAAUGCGAUAAGUAAUGUGAAUUGCAGAAUUCAGUGAAUCAUCGAAUCUUUGAACGCACAUUGCGCCCGCUGGUAUUCCGGCGGGCAUGCCUGUUCGAGCGUCAUUUCAACCCUCAAGCCCCCGGGUUUGGUGUUGGGGAUCGGCUCUGCCCUUCUGGGCGGUGCCGCCCCCGAAAUACAUUGGCGGUCUCGCUGCAGCCUCCAUUGCGUAGUAGCUAACACCUCGCAACUGGAACGCGGCGCGGCCAUGCCGUAAAACCCCAACUCACGAAAUGUUGACCUCGGAUCAGGUAGGAAUACCCGCUGAACUUAAGCAUAUCAAUAAGCGGAGGA